This 319-nucleotide small RNA is filed under the name Drosophila pseudoobscura pseudoobscura. RNAcentral describes it as "GA30638". The record is from RNAcentral. Lineage: Eukaryota; Metazoa; Arthropoda; Insecta; Diptera; Drosophilidae.
GAGUGGUAUUUUCGAUAAAAUAUAUGUAGUUGAUAAUUACUUUUUGCAUCCCUUAUUUUAGUUGAAAAAAAAUCAUUGAACGAAUUGGGCGACGGUCAUCAAUUCUACUGGCAGUGCCUGUUAUAGUGAAAUAAAAGUAUAAUAUAGUGAGUGGAAAAAUAGAUAACUCCAGAUCUCAUUUAAAUCAAUAUUUAAAAACAACAAGAGUCAGCUAGUCUAGAACAGAGGAGAACGGUAAUAAAGACAGACGUAGGAGUCUGCUUUGCGCAGCUACGUAGAAGCUAUUAAUUUAUAAAUUGCGACAACGUUAUAUCGUAAU